RNAcentral lists this ribosomal RNA (465 nucleotides) under uncultured Neisseria sp. Its description in RNAcentral is "bacterial SSU rRNA". It matches the Rfam family "Bacterial small subunit ribosomal RNA", at positions 338 to 795 of the family's 1533-position model. Lineage: Bacteria; Pseudomonadati; Pseudomonadota; Betaproteobacteria; Neisseriales; Neisseriaceae. The record is from RNAcentral.
CCUACGGGGGGCAGCAGUGGGGAAUUUUGGACAAUGGGCGCAAGCCUGAUCCAGCCAUGCCGCGUGUCUGAAGAAGGCCUUCGGGUUGUAAAGGACUUUUGUCAGGGAAGAAAAGGCUGUUGCUAAUAUCGACAGCUGAUGACGGUACCUGAAGAAUAAGCACCGGCUAACUACGUGCCAGCAGCCGCGGUAAUACGUAGGGUGCGAGCGUUAAUCGGAAUUACUGGGCGUAAAGCGAGCGCAGACGGUUACUUAAGCAGGAUGUGAAAUCCCCGGGCUCAACCUGGGAACUGCGUUCUGAACUGGGUGACUAGAGUGUGUCAGAGGGAGGUAGAAUUCCACGUGUAGCAGUGAAAUGCGUAGAGAUGUGGAGGAAUACCGAUGGCGAAGGCAGCCUCCUGGGAUAACACUGACGUUCAUGCUCGAAAGCGUGGGUAGCAAACAGGAUUAGAUACCCGGGUAGUC